UUUGAUCCUGGCUCAGAACGUACGCUGGCGGCACGCCUAACACAUGCAAGUCGAACGAAGUAGCAAUACUUAGUGGCAGACGGGUGAGUAACAUGUAGGUAUCUGCCCUUUGGCCUGGAAUAACACGAGGAAACUUGUGCUAAUACCGGAUAAGUCUUUACGGAGAAAGCUUUAUGCACCAUUGGAUGAGCCUGCACUUGAUUAGUUUGUUGGUGGGGUAAUGGCCUACCAAGACUGUGAUCAAUAGCUGAUUUGAGAGGAUGAUCAGCCACAUUGGGACUGAGACACGGCCCAAACUCCUACGGGAGGCAGCAGUAGGGAAUCUUGCACAAUGGAGGAAACUCUGAUGCAGCGAUGCCGCGUGAGUGAAGAAGGCCCUUGGGUUGUAAAGCUCUUUCGUCGGGGAAGAAAAUGACUGUACCCGAAUAAGAAGGUCCGGCUAACUUCGUGCCAGCAGCCGCGGUAAUACGAAGGGACCUAGCGUAGUUCGGAAUUACUGGGCUUAAAGAGUUCGUAGGUGGUUGAAAAAGUUAGUGGUGAAAUCCCAGAGCUUAACUCUGGAACUGCCAUUAAAACUUUUCAGCUAGAGUAUGAUAGAGGAAAGCAGAAUUUCUAGUGUAGAGGUGAAAUUCGUAGAUAUUAGAAAGAAUACCAAUUGCGAGGGCAGCUUUCUGGAUCAUUACUGACACUGAGGAACGAAAGCAUGGGUAGCGAAGAGGAUUAGAUACCCUCGUAGUCCAUGCCGUAAACGAUGUGUGUUAGACGUUGGAAAUUUAUUUUCAGUGUCGCAGGGAAACCGAUAAACACACCGCCUGGGGAGUACGGCCGCAAGGUUAAAACUCAAAUGAAUUGACGGGGACCCGCACAAGUAGUGGAGCAUGUGGUUUAAUUCGAAGAUACGCGCAGAACCUUACCAACACUUGACAUGUUCGUCGCGACUCUAAGAGAUUAGAGUUUUCGGUUCGGCCGGACGAAACACAGGUGCUGCAUGGCUGUCGUCAGCUCGUGUCGUGAGAUGUUGGGUUAAGUCCCGCAACGAGCGCAACCCUCACUUUUAGUUGCCAUCAUUAAGUUGGGCACUCUGAAAGAACUGCCAGUGAUAAGCUGGAGGAAGGUGGGGAUGACGUCAAGUCCUCAUGGCCCUUACGUGUUGGGCUACACACGUGCUACAAUGGUAUCUACAACAGGAAGCAAGACUGCGAAGUUAAGCAAAUCCCUAAAAGAUACCUCAGUUCGGAUUGCACUCUGCAACUCGAGUGCAUGAAGCUGGAAUUACUAGUAAUCGUGGAUCAGCGUGCCACGGUGAAUGCGUUCCCGGGUCUUGUACACACCGCCCGUCACACCAUGGGAGUUGGUUCUACCUUAAGGCAAGGUUUAAAACCCUUGACCACGGUAUAGUCAGCGACUGGGGUGAAGUCGUAAC
RNAcentral lists this ribosomal RNA (1423 nucleotides) under uncultured bacterium. Its description in RNAcentral is "bacterial SSU rRNA". It matches the Rfam family "Bacterial small subunit ribosomal RNA". The record is from RNAcentral.